RNAcentral lists this ribosomal RNA (561 nucleotides) under uncultured bacterium. Its description in RNAcentral is "bacterial SSU rRNA". It matches the Rfam family "Bacterial small subunit ribosomal RNA", at positions 338 to 916 of the family's 1533-position model. The record is from RNAcentral.
CCUACGGGAGGCAGCAGUGGGGAAUAUUGCACAAUGGGCGAAAGCCUGAUGCAGCAACGCCGCGUGAGCGAUGAAGGCCUUCGGGUCGUAAAGCUCUGUCCUCAAGGAAGAUAAUGACGGUACUUGAGGAGGAAGCCCCGGCUAACUACGUGCCAGCAGCCGCGGUAAUACGUAGGGGGCUAGCGUUAUCCGGAAUUACUGGGCGUAAAGGGUGCGUAGGUGGUUUUUUAAGUCAGAAGUGAAAGGCUACGGCUCAACCGUAGUAAGCUUUUGAAACUGAGAAACUUGAGUGCAGGAGAGGAGAGUAGAAUUCCUAGUGUAGCGGUGAAAUGCGUAGAUAUUAGGAGGAAUACCAGUUGCGAAGGCGGCUCUCUGGACUGUAACUGACACUGAGGCACGAAAGCGUGGGGAGCAAACAGGAUUAGAUACCCUGGUAGUCCACGCCGUAAACGAUGAGUGCUAAGUGUUAGAGGGUUUCCGCCCUUUAGUGCUGCAGCUAACGCAUUAAGCACUCCGCCUGGGGAGUACGGCCGCAAGGCUGAAACUCAAAGGAAUUGACGG